Molecule: ribosomal RNA, 490 nt
Filed under: uncultured bacterium
Lineage: Bacteria
Description: partial 16S ribosomal RNA
Rfam family: Bacterial small subunit ribosomal RNA
Source: RNAcentral
AUUGAACGCUGGCGGCAGGCCUAACACAUGCAAGUCGAACGGUAACAGGAAGCAGCUUGCUGCUUCGCUGACGAGUGGCGGACGGGUGAGUAAUGUCUGGGAAGCUGCCUGAUGGAGGGGGAUAACUACUGGAAACGGUAGCUAAUACCGCAUAAUGUCGCAUGACCAAAGAGGGGGACCUUCGGGCCUCUUGCCAUCGGAUGUGCCCAGAUGGGAUUAGCUUGUUGGUGGGGUAACGGCUCACCAAGGCGACGAUCCCUAGCUGGUCUGAGAGGAUGACCAGCCACACUGGAACUGAGACACGGUCCAGACUCCUACGGGAGGCAGCAGUGGGGAAUAUUGCACAAUGGGCGCAAGCCUGAUGCAGCCAUGCCGCGUGGAUGAAGAAGGCCUUCGGGUUGUAAAGUACUUUCAGCGGGGAGGAAGGGAGUAAAGUUAAUACCUUUGCUCAUUGACGUUACCCGCAGAAGAAGCACCGGCUAACUCCGUG